Molecule: non-coding RNA, 412 nt
Organism: Paramuricea clavata
Lineage: Eukaryota; Metazoa; Cnidaria; Anthozoa; Malacalcyonacea; Plexauridae
Source: the annotation of a GenBank genome assembly
CUUCUACUAACAUUUUUAAAGUUUUCAUUGUGAAUCACCUGUUUAUCUCUAAUUCAUUAAUCAUUUGCUACUUAUAUUUAUUUGAUAGUGUCAAUGUCAUAUAGUGAAUAAUGCGUUUACAAACAAGCAAUCCUGGAUAUGAUAUAGACGAUGCAAGCUGUCCAUUAAAAAAUAACGGUAUUCUAUUUCACAAAGCAAAAAUUUAAAUCUCACUUGUAUAUAUUAAGAAUGCAUAUAAAGCAAAAAAUUAAAGCUUAUUCAUGCCAAAACGAAAGCUGUUUACAAAAUUUAUAAAGGUGGUGAACACUACUAAACAGUGCUCAUUGAAAGACAUGUAUAAUAUAGUGACAUAUAAUUUGCCGUUUGACUUAUCUUUGGUGUAUGAUUUUAAUACCGUACAUUUUCAACAGAC